UACGUAGGGGGCUGGCGUUGUCCGGAAUCAUUGGGCGUAAAGCGCGUGUAGGCGGCUCGCCAAGUCCGAUGUGAAAGCUCGGGGCUUAACCCCGAGUCUGCAUUGGAAACUGGCUUGCUUGAGUCCGGAAGAGGAGACUGGAAUUCCUGGUGUAGCGGUGAAAUGCGCAGAUAUCAGGAAGAACACCGGUGGCGAAGGCGGGUCUCUGGGACGGUACUGACGCUGAGACGCGAAAGCGUGGGGAG
This 245-nucleotide ribosomal RNA is filed under the name uncultured bacterium. RNAcentral's name for it is "partial 16S ribosomal RNA". It matches the Rfam family "Bacterial small subunit ribosomal RNA", at positions 524 to 768 of the family's 1533-position model. The record is from RNAcentral.